GUGAACGCUGGCGGCGUGCUUAACACAUGCAAGUCGAACGGUAACAGGAAGUAGCUUGCUACUUUGCUGACGAGUGGCGCACGGGUGAGUAAUAUAUAGUUAAUGUGCCUCGAAGACUGGGAUAGCCACUGGAAACGGUGAUUAAUACUAGAUACACCUUUUUACUAUAAGGUAAGUCGGGAAAGUUUUUCGCUAAGGGAUCAGUCUAUGUUCCAUCAGGUAGUUGGUGAGGUAAUGGCUCACCAAGCCUAUGACGGAUAUCUUGUUUGAGAGGAUGAUCAGACACACUGGAACUGAGACACGGUCCAGACUCCUACGGGAGGCAGCAGUGAGGAAUAUUGCACAAUGGAGGAAACUCUGAUGCAGCAACGCCGCGUGGAGGAUGACGCAUUUCGGUGUGUAAACUCCUUUUAUUAGGGAAGAUAAUGCCGGUACCUAAUGAAUAAGCACCGGCUCCCUCCGU
RNAcentral lists this ribosomal RNA (463 nucleotides) under uncultured bacterium. RNAcentral's name for it is "bacterial SSU rRNA". It matches the Rfam family "Bacterial small subunit ribosomal RNA", at positions 29 to 506 of the family's 1533-position model. The record is from RNAcentral.